Molecule: non-coding RNA, 148 nt
Filed under: Gorilla gorilla gorilla (western lowland gorilla)
Lineage: Eukaryota; Metazoa; Chordata; Mammalia; Primates; Hominidae
Source: Rfam by way of RNAcentral
GCUGGGCAUGGUGGUGCAUGCCUGUAGUCCCAGCUACUUGGGAGGCUGAGGCAGGAGAAUCACUUGAACCCGGGAGGUGGAGGUUGCAGUGAGCCGGGAUCAUGCCACUGCACUCCCAUCUGGGUAACAGAGUGAGACUCCAUCUCAA